AACGAACGCUGGCGGCAUGCCUAACACAUGCAAGUCGAACGAGACCUUCGGGGCUAGUGGCGCACGGGUGCGUAACGCGUGGGAACCUGCCCUUAGGUUCGGAAUAACUCCCCGAAAGGGGUGCUAAUACCGGAUAAUGUCUUCGGACCAAAGAUUUAUCGGCUUUGGAUGGGCCCGCGUUGGAUUAGCUAGUUGGUAGGGUAAAAGCCUACCAAGGCGACGAUCCAUAGCUGGUCUGAGAGGAUGAUCAGCCACACUGGGACUGAGACACGGCCCAGACUCCUACGGGAGGCAGCAGUGGGGAAUAUUGGACAAUGGGCGAAAGCCUGAUCCAGCAAUGCCGCGUGAGUGAUGAAGGCCUUAGGGUUGUAAAGCUCUUUUACCCGGGAUGAUAAUGACAGUACCGGGAGAAUAAGCUCCGGCUAACUCCGUG
Molecule: ribosomal RNA, 433 nt
Filed under: uncultured bacterium
Lineage: Bacteria
Description: partial 16S ribosomal RNA
Rfam family: Bacterial small subunit ribosomal RNA
Source: RNAcentral